RNAcentral lists this ribosomal RNA (1058 nucleotides) under marine metagenome. Its description in RNAcentral is "bacterial SSU rRNA". It matches the Rfam family "Archaeal small subunit ribosomal RNA", at positions 1 to 1064 of the family's 1478-position model. The record is from RNAcentral.
UUCGGUUGAUCCUGCCGAAGGCUACUGCUAUUGGAGUUCGAUUAAGCCAUGCGAGUCUAAGGGGUACUUGUACCCCUGGCAUAAUGCUCAGUAACACGUGGAUAAUCUACCCUUAGGUGGGGCAUAAACCCGGGAAACUGGGGCUAAUUCCCCAUAGAUACAGAAGGCUGGAAUGCCUCUGUAUUCAAAGCUCCGGCGCCUAAGGAUGAGUCUGCGACCUAUCAGGUAGUAGUCAGGGUCACGACCUGACUAGCCAACGACGGGUACGGGGUGUGAGAGCACUUGCCCGGAGAUGGUUUCUGAGACACGAAACCAGGCCCUACGGGGCGCAGCAGGCGCGAAAACUUCGCAAUGCGGGAAACCGUGACGAGGGAACUCCAAGUGUCUAUGCAAUGCAUAGACUGUUUUUCAGCCUAAAUAGCUGUUAGAGUAAGGGGUGGGUAAGACCGGUGCCAGCCGCCGCGGUAACACCGGCACCCCGAGUGGUAGCCACUAUUAUUGGGCCUAAAGCGUUCGUAGCCGGUUUAGUAAAUUCUUGGGUAAAUCGUACAGCUUAACUGUGCGGAUUCCGGGGACACUACUAGACUUGAGACCGGGAGAGAUUAGAGGUACUUGCAGGGGAGCGGUGAAAUGUUGUAAUCCUGCAGGGACCACCAGUGGCGAAGGCGUCUAAUCAUAACGGCUCUGACGGUGAGGAACGAAACCCUGGGGCGCAAACGGGAUUAGAUACCCCGGUAGUCCAGGGCGUAAACGCUGCUGACUUGGUGUUGGAGAUCCUACGAGGGUGUCCAGUGCUGGCGCGAAGGUAUUAAGUCAGCCGCCUGGGGAGUACGGUCGCAAGACUGAAACUUAAAGGAAUUGGCGGGGGAGCACUGCAACGUGUGGAGCGUGCGGUUUAAUUGGAUUCAACGCCGGAAAACUCACCGGGGGCGACGGUUACAUGAAGGCCAAGCUGAUGACUUUGCCUGAUUUUCCGAGAGGUGGUGCAUGGCCGCCGUCAGUUCGUACCGUAAGGCGUUCUGUUAAGUCAGAUAACGAACGAGACCCUCAUCCCUAUU